AUAUGCCUUAUGGUGGGGGACAACAGUUGGAAACGACUGCUAAUACCGCAUAACGUCUACGGACCGAAGGGGGGGAUCUUCGGACCUCUCGCCAUUUGAUUAGCCCAAGUGAGAUUAGCUAGUUGGUGAGGUAAUGGCUCACCAAGGCGACGAUCUCUAGCUGGUUUGAGAGGAUGAUCAGCCACACUGGGACUGAGACACGGCCCAGACUCCUACGGGAGGCAGCAGUGGGGAAUAUUGCACAAUGGGCGAAAGCCUGAUGCAGCCAUGCCGCGUGUGUGAAGAAGGCCUUCGGGUUGUAAAGCACUUUCAGUUGUGAGGAAAGGGAUGUAGUUAAUAGCUGCAUUCUGUGACGUUAACAACAGAAGAAGCACCGGCUAACUUCGUGCCAGCAGCCGCGGUAAUACGAGGGGUGCAAGCGUUAAUCGGAAUUACUGGGCGUAAAGCGUUCGUAGGCGGUCUAUUAAGCAAGAUGUGAAAGCCCAGGGCUCAACCUUGGAACUGCAUUUUGAACUGGUAGACUAGAGUACUGUAGAGGGUGGUGGAAUUUCCAGUGUAGCGGUGAAAUGCGUAGAGAUUGGAAGGAACAUCAGUGGCGAAGGCGGCCACCUGGACAGAUACUGACGCUGAGGAACGAAAGCGUGGGGAGCGAACAG
Molecule: ribosomal RNA, 656 nt
Filed under: uncultured bacterium
Lineage: Bacteria
Description: bacterial SSU rRNA
Rfam family: Bacterial small subunit ribosomal RNA
Source: RNAcentral